RNAcentral lists this non-coding RNA (115 nucleotides) under Lobosporangium transversale. Its description in RNAcentral is "Eukaryotic large subunit ribosomal RNA". It matches the Rfam family "Eukaryotic large subunit ribosomal RNA", at positions 2826 to 2924 of the family's 3401-position model. Lineage: Eukaryota; Fungi; Mortierellomycota; Mortierellomycetes; Mortierellales; Mortierellaceae. The record is from Rfam by way of RNAcentral.
AUAACUGGCUUGUGGUAGCCAAGCGUUCAUAGCGACGUUGCUUUUUGAUCCUUCGAUGGCGGCUCUUCCUAUCAAGCGUUCUAGAAAAAUUUUGUUUACGCGUUUAAUACAGUGU